UGGGGUGUCGCCAAGCGGUAAGGCACGGGAUUUUGAUUCCCGCAUCCGUAGGUUCGAAUCCUGCCACCCCAGCCA
Molecule: transfer RNA, 75 nt
Filed under: Clostridiales bacterium
Lineage: Bacteria; Bacillati; Bacillota; Clostridia; Eubacteriales
Also listed under: 1 other name
Description: tRNA-Gln
Rfam family: tRNA
About the family: Transfer RNA (tRNA) molecules are approximately 80 nucleotides in length. Their secondary structure includes four short double-helical elements and three loops (D, anti-codon, and T loops).
Source: RNAcentral